RNAcentral lists this long non-coding RNA (599 nucleotides) under Homo sapiens (human). RNAcentral's name for it is "long intergenic non-protein coding RNA 1460". Lineage: Eukaryota; Metazoa; Chordata; Mammalia; Primates; Hominidae. The record is from RNAcentral.
ACGGGGCUGUGUAGCAGAGCGCCCAGCUGGACGAAUCUCCCAGCCAGUUGGGGAGCCCCUCUGAGGGUCAUUCCUGCGGAUGUGGCCGUCGGGAGGACCAGCCCGUUUGCAGACCAAGCUUUUGCUUCCUCUCAUCCCUCCUGAGGAAGACCCUGGGAAAGGAAUGCUCUUCCUGCGGGCCCUUCCUCAGACACCAGGCAAACGGGUGAAGGUGCAGAGGAUUUCAGUGGGAUUUCCUGCCUCGAUUUCUCCAGUACUAUGAUAUGGAAAGACUAGAACAUUCAACCAUACACUUUCUGAUUCUCACCUCCACCAUCAUUAGUUCCAUUCCAAACUCUGGCUCCUACCCAUUGAGUUCAAGCUACAGCCUGAUUCAACUGAUCAACCUGGGGAUGGUGGUGUCAGGACUAGCACCUGGACCAUUCUGCCUCCUCUGCCUGCAACAUCCUCUCUAUCUGCUUGUGAACUCUUCUCCUUCAAAACCCAGCGGUUACGUCACCACUUCUAAAACCUUGAACUGAUUCCCCACGUAGUCGGCCAGCUACUUUUUAAAUUUAAAAAAGCCCAACCAGAAUAAACAGGAUAGCUAAAAUGCUGAA